AAGGAAGGCGGGGGGCAUGCCUUACACAUGCAAGUCGAACGGCAGCAUGACCUAGCUUGCUAGGUUGAUGGCGAGUGGCGAACGGGUGAGUAAUGCAUCGGAACGUGCCUUUUAGUGGGGGAUAACGUAGCGAAAGUUACGCUAAUACCGCAUAUUCUCUGAGGAGGAAAGCAGGGGACCUUCGGGCCUUGCGCUAGAAGAGCGGCCGAUGUCGGAUUAGCUAGUUGGUGAGGUAAAGGCUCACCAAGGCAACGAUCCGUAGCGGGUCUGAGAGGAUGAUCCGCCACACUGGGACUGAGACACGGCCCAGACUCCUACGGGAGGCAGCAGUGGGGAAUUUUGGACAAUGGGCGCAAGCCUGAUCCAGCCAUGCCGCGUGAGUGAAGAAGGCCUUCGGGUUGUAAAGCUCUUUCGGCUGGGAAGAAAUCGCACCCUCUAAUACAGGGUGUGGAUGACGGUACCAGCAUAAGAAGCACCGGCUAACUACGUG
RNAcentral lists this ribosomal RNA (490 nucleotides) under uncultured bacterium. RNAcentral's name for it is "partial 16S ribosomal RNA". It matches the Rfam family "Bacterial small subunit ribosomal RNA", at positions 31 to 507 of the family's 1533-position model. The record is from RNAcentral.